UCGCCCUUUUCCGGUUGAUCCCGCCGGACCUUACUGCUAUCGGGAUAAGACUAAGCCAUGCGAGUUGAGCGCUCUCAAGCUAUGUUGAGAGAGCAGCGAACGGCUCCGUAACACGUAGUUAACCUACCCUCAGGACAGGGAUACCCCCGGGAAACUGGGGACAAUACCUGAUAGGCGGAAAGACCUGGAACGGUCUUCCACUGAAAGGGUGUUGGGAACAUGCUUCCAGCACUGCUUGAGGAUGGGACUGCGGCCGAUCAGGUUGUUGGUGGGGUAACGGCCCACCAAGCCGAUAACCGGUACGGGCCCUGAGAGGGGGAGCCCGGAGAUGGGAACUGAGACAAGGUCCCAGGUCCUACGGGACGCAGCAGGCGCGAAACCUCCACAAUGCACGAAAGUGUGAUGGGGUUAUCCCGAGUGCUGUCCGAUGAGGAUGGCUUUUCCUCGGUGUAAAAAGCCGAGGGAAUAAAGGGGGGGCAAGACUGGUGUCAGCCGCCGCGGUAAUACCAGCUCCCUGAGUGGUAGGGAUGAUUAUUUGGCCUAAAGCGUCCGUAGCCGGCUUGGUAAGUCCUUCGUAAAAUCCAACGACUCAAUCGUUGGUUCGCGGAGGAUACUGCCAGGCUAGAGGACGGGAGAGGUUGACGGUAGUCCCAGGGUAGGGGUGAAAUCCAAUAAUCCUGGGAGGACCACCAGUGGCGAAGGCGGUCAACAAGAACGUGCCUGACGGUGAUGGACGAAAGCUGGGGGAGCGAACCGGAUUAGACACCCGGGUAGUCCCAGCCGUAAACGAUGCGGGCUAGGUGUUAGGGCAGCUACGAGCUGCUCUAGUGCCGCAGAGAAGUCGUUAAGCCCGCCGCCUGGGGAGUACGAUCGCAAGAUUGAAACUUAAAGGAAUUGGCGGGGGAGCACCACAAGGGGUGAAGCCUGCGGUUCAAUUGGAGUCAACGCCGGGAA
RNAcentral lists this ribosomal RNA (954 nucleotides) under uncultured archaeon. RNAcentral describes it as "bacterial SSU rRNA". It matches the Rfam family "Archaeal small subunit ribosomal RNA", at positions 1 to 924 of the family's 1478-position model. The record is from RNAcentral.